This 484-nucleotide ribosomal RNA is filed under the name uncultured bacterium. Its description in RNAcentral is "bacterial SSU rRNA". It matches the Rfam family "Bacterial small subunit ribosomal RNA", at positions 9 to 510 of the family's 1533-position model. The record is from RNAcentral.
GAGUUUGAUCCUGGCUCAGGACGAACGCUGGCGGCGUGCCUAACACAUGCAAGUCGAGCGAUGAAGUUUCUUCGGGAACGGAUUAGCGGCGGACGGGUGAGUAACACGUGGGCAACCUGCCUUAUAGAGGGGAAUAGCCUUCCGAAAGGAAGAUUAAUACCGCAUAAGAUUGUAGCUUCGCAUGAAGUAGCAAUUAAAGGAGUAAUCCGCUAUAAGAUGGGCCCGCGGCGCAUUAGCUAGUUGGUGAGGUAACGGCUCACCAAGGCGACGAUGCGUAGCCGACCUGAGAGGGUGAUCGGCCACAUUGGGACUGAGACACGGCCCAGACUCCUACGGGAGGCAGCAGUGGGGAAUAUUGCACAAUGGGGGAAACCCUGAUGCAGCAACGCCGCGUGAGUGAUGACGGCCUUCGGGUUGUGAGGCUCUGUCUUUGGGGACGAUAAUGACGGUACCCAAGGAGGAAGCCACGGCUAACUACGUGCCA